GGCCUCCUGGUGCUUGCCACAGGCUGUGUUCUUACACUGACUGUACAGAUAAAGAGAAGGAAAAGCAAACCUACCCCACACACACUUCAACCCCCGUGCCUGGUCUGUACCUUGAAUGAGAACAUGUGG
RNAcentral lists this small nucleolar RNA (129 nucleotides) under Castor canadensis (American beaver). RNAcentral's name for it is "Small nucleolar RNA SNORA51 (ENSCCNG00000018140.1)". It matches the Rfam family "Small nucleolar RNA SNORA51". Rfam says of the family: ACA51 is a member of the H/ACA class of snoRNA that guide the sites of modification of uridines to pseudouridines. The record is from Rfam by way of RNAcentral. Lineage: Eukaryota; Metazoa; Chordata; Mammalia; Rodentia; Castoridae.